AUCCAGAAGUGCUUUUUUUAUAGGGGUUAAUUAGAGACAAGAUUUUAGAGUCUCAGAAAGCCAGCUUUCCCCAAGAGCCUGAGCAAGCAAGAGGCACCGAGGGGGUGGGACAACAAGAGGGUGGCAGUUGGUGUCUUUGGUGCUUUUUUUGAGUCCUGUGAUCACUUUUAUUCAGCAUUGUCAUUUCUAUGCAGUGAUGAAUACAGAAACAGUACUGGGUGUUUGGACGUUUGGGCUCCAGCUGAAGCUUCCCCACCCCAAGGACUGAGGUGUCCUAUUAGGAGGAUAAGGAGAGGGAUGGCCUUCCUCUAAAUAACAGUGUCUUGGUCAUGAUGCCCUGGAGAAUAAUCACCAAAGCUGAAGAAGCCUGCAGGCCUGCUUCUGAAACCUCUCCUGGACUACCCGAACAACCCUGGCAACUGUUCAGGGCCAGAGAUUCUUUAAAAGUAAUAGCUUGAAUAUCAUUUCUUCCAUAUUUUAUGGGCCUACAGAAUUUAUGUGGUAAACAAGGUGCAAUGGAUUCUGCUUAAGGAUACUGAGGUAUUCGUUUCAAUGAGGAUAUGAUAUAAAAACUGCACAGAUUGUAGAAAACACAGUGGCAUACAUACAUGCUGACACCGAAGACUUUCCUAAAUGCAAAUACAGUAAUGAACUGAGUUUGUGUUUUAUUUUCACAUGUAUCCUUCCACCACCCACACCCUCAUGGUCUCUCAUCUGAAUUCUAUCUAGAGAUUUCAGACGACAGCAUCUUCUUU
This 755-nucleotide long non-coding RNA is filed under the name Marmota monax (woodchuck). The record is from RNAcentral. Lineage: Eukaryota; Metazoa; Chordata; Mammalia; Rodentia; Sciuridae.